AUGACCUCUGUGUUACUUCAACCUCUUAGGAACAAAAGUGACGUGAUCCUUUUAUUAAACAAAGGAGCGAUGGAAAUCAAGCAAGCAAUCGAUGUCUUUAAACUCUCCUGUGACUCAGCUGGAGACAACAGCCUGUGCAACGAGCAUCUUUGCAAUGUUUUUGUAAGCAUCCAAAUUGCUUGCUUUUCUUCUGGAGUCAGCUUCCUCGUCUUCAUCCUGGUUUGUGUGUGUCACUACCGAAUGCAUGACUCAGAAUGCAAAAGCAAUGGAUAUAUCUGAUACGACACAUUCCCCGCUUUUAAUAUUUGAAGAAUUAAUGCAACAGGACACAGCUGAACACUUAGAAAGACCUGUGAGGCAACUGUUCCAGUACUUAUGCUCACAUCAGAUAGGGACACGAAACUCUGGUAAAACAUCUUUGUGUUGAAUCACCCAAUAAUAAAAUGAGACAUUCUGUUGUUUUGUCUCAUAUUCAUCUUUUAAUCAUAUUUACAGAUUUCUUGACUCCACAGCAAACAGAACAAUUUUGUCUUUACUGUUCCAAUACGUAUGGAAGGCACUGUGUGUGUGUGUGUGUUUAUAGUGUGUUUAUAGUGUGUUUGCAAACAUUGCAAAUAGUAUAAUUUUUUUAAAUGAACCAUUUAAAUAUUUACAUUUUGAAAAGCAAAAUACUGUAUAAACUUGCAAUUUUAUUUGAAUAUAAAUUACAAAAUGUAUUUUCAUUUUUUCAUCAUUCAUUUCAAUAUUCACAUUUUGCUUCUCAGCUUGAUUUUUCUUUCACUUAGGAUGUUUAGAUGUUUUUACAAAAAAUAUUUUCUGUGCAAUGAACAAAUGUAGGAUGAGUGUUAGUUUUAUUCAUCAAGAAUGUAUUGGAUCAUGAAAAGUGGACAUUACUAAAGAUUACGAAUCU
This 910-nucleotide long non-coding RNA is filed under the name Carassius auratus (goldfish). RNAcentral's name for it is "lncRNA (ENSCARG00000012388.1)". The record is from RNAcentral. Lineage: Eukaryota; Metazoa; Chordata; Actinopteri; Cypriniformes; Cyprinidae.